CCAGCAACGGACUUCUGAACAUCCAGGGGGUUUGGACUGUCUGAAAUGUGGCAAAAAGGGAUACUGAAAGAAUGAAUACCAAAUCCGAAGGGGAAAGAAGGAGAAUUCAUCCUUCAUUUGGGUGAGAACUGAUGAAAACUGACAGGGAUGAGACUCCAUGUCAUAGAUGCCAGGAUAACAUUAAAGGGUCUGACACCAGCCGUAUUUUAUAAUGAGACCUGUGGAAAUCAAUCAGCC
This 237-nucleotide small RNA is filed under the name Rattus norvegicus (Norway rat). RNAcentral's name for it is "uncharacterized LOC108349660". The record is from RNAcentral. Lineage: Eukaryota; Metazoa; Chordata; Mammalia; Rodentia; Muridae.